Molecule: long non-coding RNA, 209 nt
Filed under: Elaeis guineensis (African oil palm)
Lineage: Eukaryota; Viridiplantae; Streptophyta; Magnoliopsida; Arecales; Arecaceae
Description: long non-coding RNA (EGUI_LNC028766)
Source: RNAcentral
GGCUAGCACUCCGAUUCCCUGCAAUUAUUUCCAACUGGACCCCACACUUAGCCGUCGAAGUGGGAAACUUUAUUUUCGUUUCACCCGUCAUCUUCCGAUUGGUGAAGCCUUUGCUUUAACUUAACUUUUCAUCCUCCACCAAAAGAAAAAAAUAAAAAUGCCUUUGCUAAAGGAUAAGACGGGCCAAGUCAAUACAAGCAGUCAAGUCG